This 1034-nucleotide long non-coding RNA is filed under the name Brassica rapa (field mustard). RNAcentral describes it as "long non-coding RNA (BRAP_LNC001819)". The record is from RNAcentral. Lineage: Eukaryota; Viridiplantae; Streptophyta; Magnoliopsida; Brassicales; Brassicaceae.
UUGACUCUUGUGAAUGUGUGUUGUUUUAAUGACUUUAACUAAACGUGUUUGUCAUCUUACAUAGGAUCCACAUAAAACCUAAAUUUCUUUACACAAACAUUUCUUUUCACGCCGUAAAUUAAUUCUCUCAACUAAACUCAUCUCUUUCAAACGCCAAAGCAACCCUUUGACUCUCUGCAAAUCAGAAACCGUAAACUCAUCCCUAUCAAAUCUUGACUCUGCGUAGAUCGAAAGCAAGUAUUCUUUUUUUUUCUUUUGGCUUUUUGAACUUUUUUGCUGAUAACCCGCUAGACCCGCUUGUUUGAUGCGGAGCGGGUGUGGUUAUCGAAAUCCGGUCAUGCGGGUCUUGCGGGUAUAAUUUUCAAGUGAAAAAAUGAGUUUAACCUGCGGCGGGGCGGUUGAGCGGGGCGGAUCCGACCCGCUUCCCAGGCAUAAUCAUGGGUCUAGAGGAAGCAGCAGGAUUGAACAGUUACCAACGACGUUAGGAUGCGUCUCCGUUCUUCACUGCUGUCGUAUUAGGGUUAGCAAAACUCAGACUUAUCCGGUCAGUUACGCUUUCUUUAUCAUAGCCCAAUAACAUGUAAAAUAACGAAGCCCAAUAAGAUGAUGUUAAUGAAACUCUGCGUUUCUUAUCUCUGGACACGUGGCAUCACUACAAACCUCGAUUUUCUGACCUGGCGCUGACGUGGAUGCACAGGAGUGAAGCAAACAUAUUUUUAUAUAUAUAGAUAAUUGAUGUCAUUCUGUAAUUAUAGGCUAAAAGUUCUACGUAUAUGAUUGGCUUAUUACGUGAUAUACUUUAGUAUCACGAUUCUAAGAAUAGUGGUGAGUACUUGAUUGGUAGAUUCCCACAGAAUAUUCCAUGUCUGAUCGUGUAUUAACUCGAGUUAACAAAAAAAGAAAGAUGUAAUGCAUAUCAACAAAAGUCAACGGAAACAAAUGUCCGAAAAUCAAUCGACACGUUUAGUUAGUUUGCCGUUCCCAUGAUUCGUCGGAGAGAUCUCAUCACUUGUCGCCCCUAACCUAAUGGCCUC